GCCAGGCUUGGUGGCUCAGGCUUGUAAUCCCAGCACUUUGGGAGGCUGAGGUAGGUGGAUCACUUGAGUCCAGGAGUUUGAAACCAGCCUGGGCAACAUAGUGAGACCCCGCCUCUAUUAAAAAUGUUAACAAGAAUAAAAUAAAAUACAAUAAAAGGGGGCCCAGCACUUUGGGACACUGAGGUGGGCAGUUCACUUGAGGUCGGGGUGUUCAAGACCACCCUGGCCAACAUGGUGAAGCCACAUCUCU
This 250-nucleotide small RNA is filed under the name Nomascus leucogenys (northern white-cheeked gibbon). Its description in RNAcentral is "Metazoan signal recognition particle RNA (ENSNLEG00000029473.1)". The record is from RNAcentral. Lineage: Eukaryota; Metazoa; Chordata; Mammalia; Primates; Hylobatidae.